Falco tinnunculus (common kestrel) is the source of this 124-nucleotide small nucleolar RNA. Lineage: Eukaryota; Metazoa; Chordata; Aves; Falconiformes; Falconidae. The record is from Ensembl.
GCAGUCGAAAAUCACUCGAGGUCUCUUGUGGCCCCUGGUGAGAUAACUGUGCCGACAGUAUAGGGAACAUUAAGCUUAUUCCCCACAGUACCUUGUGGGGAGUGAAACCCAUGUUCCUAUAACU